This 445-nucleotide ribosomal RNA is filed under the name uncultured bacterium. RNAcentral describes it as "partial 16S ribosomal RNA". It matches the Rfam family "Bacterial small subunit ribosomal RNA", at positions 338 to 795 of the family's 1533-position model. The record is from RNAcentral.
CCUACGGGAGGCAGCAGUCGAGAAUCAUUCACAAUGGGGGAAACCCUGAUGGUGCGACGCCGCGUGGGGGAAUGAAGGUCUUCGGAUUGUAAACCCCUGUCAUGUGGGAGCAAAUUAAAAAGAUAGUACCACAAGAGGAAGAGACGGCUAACUCUGUGCCAGCAGCCGCGGUAAUACAGAGGUCUCAAGCGUUGUUCGGAAUCACUGGGCGUAAAGCGUGCGUAGGCUGUUUCGUAAGUCGUGUGUGAAAGGCGCGGGCUCAACCCGCGGACGGCACAUGAUACUGCGAGACUAGAGUAAGGGAGGGGGAACCGGAAUUCUCGGUGUAGCAGUGAAAUGCGUAGAUAUCGAGAGGAACACUCGUGGCGAAGGCGGGUUCCUGGACAUUAACUGACGCUGAGGCACGAAGGCCAGGGGAGCGAAAGGGAUUAGAUACCCCAGAGUC